Molecule: ribosomal RNA, 346 nt
Filed under: uncultured Anaerolineaceae bacterium
Lineage: Bacteria; Bacillati; Chloroflexota; Anaerolineae; Anaerolineales; Anaerolineaceae
Description: bacterial SSU rRNA
Rfam family: Bacterial small subunit ribosomal RNA
Source: RNAcentral
GGGGAGCCAUUACAGGUGUUGCAUGGCUGUCGUCAGCUCGUGUCGUGAGAUGUUCGGUUAAGUCCGCUAACGAGCGCAACCCUCGCUGUGUGUUAUAUGUGUCACACAGGACUGCUGGUAUUAAGCCGGAGGAAGGUGGGGACGACGCCAAGUCAGCAUGACCUUUAUAUCCAGGGCUACACACACGCUACAAUGGUCAGUACAAUGGGUUGCCAAGCCGCGAGGCGGAGCCAAUCCUAAAAAGCUGGCCUCAGUUCAGAUUGCAGUCUGAAACUCGACUGCAUGAAGUCGGAGUUGCUAGUAAACGCAGGUCAGCUAUACUGCGUUGAAUACGUUCCCGGGGCUU